This 305-nucleotide ribosomal RNA is filed under the name uncultured bacterium. RNAcentral describes it as "bacterial SSU rRNA". It matches the Rfam family "Bacterial small subunit ribosomal RNA", at positions 334 to 639 of the family's 1533-position model. The record is from RNAcentral.
AACCCUACGGGAGGCAGCAGUGAGGAAUAUUGGUCAAUGGCCGGAAGGCUGAACCAGCCAAGUCGCGUGAGGGAAUAAGGCCCUAUGGGUCGUAAACCUCUUUUGUCGGGGAGCAAAAGCCGGACGUGUCCGGCUGUGAGAGUACCCGAAGAAAAAGCAUCGGCUAACUCCGUGCCAGCAGCCGCGGUAAUACGGAGGAUGCGAGCGUUAUCCGGAUUUAUUGGGUUUAAAGGGUGCGCAGGCGGAUUUUUAAGUCAGCGGUCAAAUCGUGGGGCUCAACCCCAUCCAGCCGUUGAAACUGGGGA